UGCAAAGCAGCCCCAGGCUCAGGGUGAAAAGCCAGUUCUGGCUGAGCAGCUCCAGUCUCCUCCCACAGGAGCCUUCACUGAUCAUGGAGUUCUUGGCUCUGCUCCUCUGCCUGGUGGCAGCUCCCUACUGUGUCCUGUCCCAGGGGCAGCUGCAGGAGUCAGGACCUGGCCUGGUGAAGCCUUCAGAGACCCUGUCCCUCACUUGCACAGUCUCUGGAUUGUCUUUAACUAGCAAUGCUUUCAACUGGGUCCGUCAGGCUCCAGGAAAGGGGCUGGAGUGGAUUGGUGUUAUAUGGAGCGGUGGAAGCACAGAUUAUAACCCAGCCCUUAAAUCUCGAGUGGGCAUCAGCAGGGACACUUCCAAGAGCCAAGUCUCACUCACACUGAGCAGCCUGAGCCCCGAGGACACGGCCAUGUAUUACUGUGCAACACACAGUGAGAGGACUUCAGUGUGA
Molecule: non-coding RNA, 455 nt
Organism: Cavia porcellus (domestic guinea pig)
Lineage: Eukaryota; Metazoa; Chordata; Mammalia; Rodentia; Caviidae
Source: the annotation of a RefSeq genome assembly